CCUACGGGUGGCAGCAGUGAGGAAUAUUGGUCAAUGGGCGAGAGCCUGAACCAGCCAAGUCGCGUGAAGGAUGACGGCCCUACGGGUUGUAAACUUCUUUUGUCAGGGAGCAAUUGGGUCCACGCGUGGGCUUAGCGAGAGUACCUGAAGAAAAAGCAUCGGCUAACUCCGUGCCAGCAGCCGCGGUAAUACGGAGGAUGCGAGCGUUAUCCGGAUUUAUUGGGUUUAAAGGGUGCGCAGGCGGGCUGUUAAGCCGGCGGUACAAAUUCAGGGCUCAACCCUGUCGAGCCGUCGGAACUGGCAGUCUUGAGUGGGCGAGAAGUAUGCGGAAUGCGUGGUGUAGCGGUGAAAUGCAUAGAUAUCACGCAGAACGCCGAUUGCGAAGGCAGCAUACCGGCGCCCAACUGACGCUGAGGCACGAAAGCGUGGGGAUCGAACAGGAUUAGAUACCCUAGUAGUC
RNAcentral lists this ribosomal RNA (460 nucleotides) under uncultured bacterium. Its description in RNAcentral is "partial 16S ribosomal RNA". It matches the Rfam family "Bacterial small subunit ribosomal RNA", at positions 338 to 795 of the family's 1533-position model. The record is from RNAcentral.